This 992-nucleotide non-coding RNA is filed under the name Camelus bactrianus (Bactrian camel). RNAcentral describes it as "Bacterial small subunit ribosomal RNA". It matches the Rfam family "Microsporidia small subunit ribosomal RNA". RNAcentral also lists the same sequence under 1 other name. The record is from Rfam by way of RNAcentral. Lineage: Eukaryota; Metazoa; Chordata; Mammalia; Artiodactyla; Camelidae.
AAACACAUAGGUUUGAUCCCAGCCUUUCUAUUAGUUUCCAAUGAAAUUACACAUGCAAGUAUCUGCAUCCCAGUGAGAAUGGCCCCUAACUCUCAAUGGAUAAAAGGAGCCAGCAUCAAGCACACAAAGCUGUAGCUAACGACGCCUUGCUUAACCACACCCCCACGGGAUACAGCAGUGGUAAAAAUUAAGUCAUAAACGGAAGUUUGACUAAGUUAUAUUAUUCAGGGUUGGUAAAUUUCGUGCAAGCCACCGCGGUCAUAUGAUUAACCCAAAUUAAUAGAGAUACAGUGUAAAGCAUGUUAAUGAGUAACAACAACAACAGCAACAAAAACAGAGUUAAGCCCUGGCUAGGAUGUAGAAAGCUAUAGCCAGAGUAAAAAUAAACUACGAAAGUGACCCUAGUACUAUCUAAUUACACGACAGCUAAGACCCAAACUGGGAUUAGAUGCCCCACUAUGCUUAGCCUUAAAUCCAGGUGAUUAUGAUGAAAAAAUCACUUGCCAGAGUACUACUAGCAACUGCUUAACACUCAAAGAACUUGGCAAUGCUUCAUACCCUCCUAGAGGAGCCUGUUCUAUAAUCAAUAAACCCCGAUCAACUUUACCAACCCUUGCUAAUUCAGUCUAUAUACUGCCAUCUCCAGCAAACCCCCGAAGGGAAUAAAAGUAAGCUUAACUAUUUAAACGUAAAAAUGUUAGGUCAAGGUGUAACCAGUGGGAUGGGAAGAAAUGGACUACAUUUUCUUGCCCCCAAGAAAAUCUGCAGCUCUAACGAAGGCUCUUAUGAAAUUGAAGGCUAAAGGAGGGUUUAGUAGUAAAUUAAGAAUAGAGUGCUUAAUUGAACUAGGCCAUGAAGCACGCACACACCGCCCGUCACCCUCUUCAAGUAUAAUGGGCCUAUAGAUUACAAUAAUAAGUGCUAGACACGUGAGAAGAGGUAAGUCGUAACAAGGUAAGUAUACUGGAAAGUGUGCUUGGAAGAACAAAACG